RNAcentral lists this ribosomal RNA (373 nucleotides) under uncultured bacterium. RNAcentral describes it as "bacterial SSU rRNA". It matches the Rfam family "Bacterial small subunit ribosomal RNA", at positions 527 to 896 of the family's 1533-position model. The record is from RNAcentral.
GAAGGGUGCUAGCGUUGUUCGGAAUCACUGGGCGUAAAGGGCGUUGCAGGCGAGUUUGUUAAGUCUAAGGGUGAAAGCUCGCAGCUCAACUUGGAAAGGUUCUUGGAUACUGAUGGACUUGAGGCAUGCAGAGGAAAGUGGAAUUUCCCGGUGUAGCGGUGAUAUGCGUAGAUAUCGGGAGGAACACCAGUGGCGAAGGCGGCUUUCCGGACAUUUCCUGACGCUGAGACGCGAAAGCUAGGGGAGCAAACGGGAUUAGAUACCCCGGUAGUCCUAGCUGUAAACGAUGGACACUAGAUGUUCCCGCGUUUAUGCGGGAGUGUCGUAGCUUACGCGUUAAGUGCCCCGCCUGGGGAGUACGGUCGCAAGGCUG